MicroRNA precursor from Culex quinquefasciatus (southern house mosquito), 71 nucleotides. It matches the Rfam family "mir-3 microRNA precursor family". The record is from Rfam. Lineage: Eukaryota; Metazoa; Arthropoda; Insecta; Diptera; Culicidae.
UUUAUGCGUCAAACUCGGCUCAGUUUGGUGAACUUUGAUUUGACAUCACUGGGCAUAGUUUGUCGCAUAAU